GACGAACGCUGGCGGCGUGCUUAACACAUGCAAGUCGAACGGAGCGAAUGAAAGCUUGCUUUUAUGAGCUUAGUGGCAAACGGGUGAGUAACACGUAGACAACCUGCCGAUAGGAUGGGGACAACAUUCCGAAAGGAAUGCUAAUACCGAAUGGCGUGUAGGGGAGGCAUCUCCCGUACAUGAAAGAUGGCCUCUGAAUAUGCUAUCACCUAUCGAUGGGUCUGCGUCUGAUUAGCUAGUAGGUAAGGUAACGGCUUACCUAGGCGACGAUCAGUAGCCGGUCUGAGAGGAUGAACGGCCACAUUGGGACUGAGACACGGCCCAGACUCCUACGGGAGGCAGCAGUGGGGAAUCUUCCGCAAUGGGCGCAAGCCUGACGGAGCAACGCCGCGUGAGUGAAGAAGGUCUUCGGAUCGUAAAGCUCUGUUGAAGGGGACGAACGUAUAUAGUG
Molecule: ribosomal RNA, 451 nt
Filed under: Selenomonas sp. oral taxon E83
Lineage: Bacteria; Bacillati; Bacillota; Negativicutes; Selenomonadales; Selenomonadaceae
Description: bacterial SSU rRNA
Rfam family: Bacterial small subunit ribosomal RNA
Source: RNAcentral